AUCAUCCAAAAUUUAGAACAUAGCAAAAACAACAUGUAAAAUAAACAAUCCAAGUAAAUAUGGUCAUAGGGAAAUUUUGUUAUGCCAAUUAGCAAAUAAAAAUUAAGGCACAUCGCUCUCAGAAAAUGAAGAAACAUUAAAAGAAAGAAAAUACAUUCACAUUUCUGUAAUCUUUUCAAUAUAAAAAUUAUGCAGAUGAUACCUGAACUCGAGCAGUGCUA
Molecule: unclassified non-coding RNA, 221 nt
Filed under: Hevea brasiliensis (rubber tree)
Lineage: Eukaryota; Viridiplantae; Streptophyta; Magnoliopsida; Malpighiales; Euphorbiaceae
Source: RNAcentral